GGCCUCGUGGUCUAGCGGUAUGAUUCACCCUUAGGGCUCUCCUAGUGGGUGAGGCCCCGGGUUCGAUUCCCGGCGAGGCCC
Non-coding RNA from Cantharellus anzutake, 81 nucleotides. The record is from the annotation of a RefSeq genome assembly. NCBI's taxonomy places the organism in Eukaryota, Fungi, Basidiomycota, Agaricomycetes, Cantharellales, Hydnaceae.